GUAGUCCACGCCGUAAACGAUGGGCACUAGGUGCUUGGGGGAGCGACCCCCCGAGUGCCGGCGCUAACGCAUUAAGUGCCCCGCCUGGGGAGUACGACCGCAAGGUUGAAACUCAAAGGAAUUGACGGGGGCCCGCACAAGCGGUGGAGCAUGUGGUUUAAUUCGACGCAACGCGAAGAACCUUACCCAGACUUGACAUGUACGAGAAAGCCUCUGGAAACAGGGGCCCCUCUUCGGAGCUCGUGCACAGGUGCUGCAUGGCUGUCGUCAGCUCGUGUCGCGAGAUGUUGGGUUAAGUCCCGCAACGAGCGCAACCCUUGCCCUUAGUUACCAGCGAGUAAAGUCGGGGACUCUAGGGGGACUGCCGGUGCCAAACCGGAGGAAGGUGGGGACGACGUCAAGUCAUCAUGGUCCUUACGUCUGGGGCUACACACGUGCUACAAUGGCAGGUACAGAGGGCUGCGAAAGGGCAACCUGGAGCCAAUCCCUAAAGCCUGCCUCAGUUCGGAUUGUCGUCUGCAACUCGACGGCAUGAAGCUGGAAUCGCUAGUAAUCGUGGAUCAGCGACGCCACGGUGAAUACGUUCCCGGGCCUUGUACACACCGCCCGUCACGCCAUGGAAGCUGUGAGCGCCCAAAGUCGGUGUCGGAACCCGCAAGGGACCAAGCCGCCUAAGGCGAGCGCAGUGACUGGGGCG
Molecule: ribosomal RNA, 697 nt
Filed under: uncultured bacterium
Lineage: Bacteria
Description: bacterial SSU rRNA
Rfam family: Bacterial small subunit ribosomal RNA
Source: RNAcentral